GCCCAGUGUGGUGGCAUGUGCCUGUAGUCCCAGCUACUAGGGAGGCCGAGGCUGGAGGAUUGCUUGAGCCUAGGAGUUCUGGGCUGUAGUGUGCUAUGCUGAUCAGGUGUUAGCACAAAGUUUGGCUUCAAUAUGGUGACCUCCCGGGAGCAGGGGACCACCAGGUUGCCUAAGGAGGGGUGAACCGGCUCAGGCUGGAAAUGGAGCAGGUCAGAACUCCUGUGCUGAUCAGUAGUGGGAUUGUGCCUAUGAAUAACCACUGCACUCUAGCCUGGGCAAUAUAGUGAGACCCUGUCUCA
RNAcentral lists this signal recognition particle RNA (299 nucleotides) under Saimiri boliviensis boliviensis (Bolivian squirrel monkey). RNAcentral's name for it is "Metazoan signal recognition particle RNA (ENSSBOG00000009478.1)". It matches the Rfam family "Metazoan signal recognition particle RNA". From Rfam's summary of the family: The signal recognition particle (SRP) is a universally conserved ribonucleoprotein. It is involved in the co-translational targeting of proteins to membranes. The eukaryotic SRP consists of a 300-nucleotide 7S RNA and six proteins: SRPs 72, 68, 54, 19, 14, and 9. The record is from RNAcentral. Lineage: Eukaryota; Metazoa; Chordata; Mammalia; Primates; Cebidae.